RNAcentral lists this ribosomal RNA (440 nucleotides) under uncultured Dongia sp. RNAcentral's name for it is "partial 16S ribosomal RNA". The record is from RNAcentral. Lineage: Bacteria; Pseudomonadati; Pseudomonadota; Alphaproteobacteria; Rhodospirillales; Dongiaceae.
GACUACAGGGGUAUCUAAUCCUGUUUGCUCCCCACGCUUUCGCGCCUCAGCGUCAAUGUCGGUCCAGAUAGCCGCCUUCGCCACCGGUGUUCUUCCCAAUAUCUACGAAUUUCACCUCUACACUGGGAAUUCCGCUAUCCUCUCCCGAAUUCAAGCCAUCCAGUAUUAAGUGCAGUCCCCAGGUUGAGCCCAGGACUUUCACACCUAACUUAAACGGCCGCCUACGCGCCCUUUACGCCCAGUAAUUCCGAACAACGCUAGCCCCCUUCGUAUUACCGCGGCUGCUGGCACGAAGUUAGCCGGGGCUUAUUCUCCAGGUACAGUCAUCAUCUUCCCUGGCAAAAGAGCUUUACAACCCUAAGGCCUUCAUCACUCACGCGGCAUUGCUGGAUCAGGGUUGCCCCCAUUGUCCAAUAUUCCCCACUGCAGCCGCCCGUAGG